Molecule: long non-coding RNA, 912 nt
Organism: Spinacia oleracea (spinach)
Lineage: Eukaryota; Viridiplantae; Streptophyta; Magnoliopsida; Caryophyllales; Amaranthaceae
Exons: 2
Source: RefSeq, a predicted model, not a curated record
CGUAAAUCCAUUCAAUCGGACGGCUCACCUGAUACCCGCAAAAAUCAAACAAUUAAGGGUAUUUUAGUAAUCUUAAUGAGUUGAAUGACCUUCUUCUUUCUGUUUCCCGUCUCAUAAUACUUUCUCUCUCUUCCAUCGGCUUUCUCUCUCCUCUGCAAAUCCGCUCCACCAUUCUCGCUCUUCCAACCCCAAAUUGAUCGAGACAAUCAAAUCUUCAUCCAAAAAUCGACAAUAAGUUCUCUGCUGUUCUUUGAUUUUGCAGAAAUUCACAAUUAUUAUCUAUCUCCUUUCGUACUUUUCUCUUUGCUCUCGCAAUUUUGGAGUUCAAUUUCAUCGUUCUUGCAAAUUUCGCAAUUGUGUCAUGGAAGUAUGAAUCCGUGAAGACUUUGGUACGCCUUGGACGUAUUGGACUACCUAAAACAUCACGCCAGAUUUUGCAGAAGCUAGAAGUUGUCGAAUUCAAAAACUACAGCCCUUGCUCUCCUGUUCUGUAGCUGUGAUUGCUCGUUGUUGUUGCCUGUCUUCAGUCUACUCGUUUUGGUUUUGCAUAAUAUGCAAGUAGUUGUAAUGGUUAUGCAUAAUCUGCAGUUAGUUGUUCUGCAAUGGUUAUGCAUAAUCUGCAGUUAGUUGUAAUAGUUCGGCAUAAUCUAUAUAAUCUGCAGUUCGUUGUGAUGGUUGUGCAUAAUCUGUAAUGGUUCUGCAAGUUCAUUUUGUAAUGGUUCUGCAUAAUCUGCAGUUAGUUGUUCUAGUUUCUUCAGUCUUCUAUUCGAUGAUUACUUACUUUCGAAUUAAUUCUAUUUACUUUAUUAAGUUAUAUAUCUACAUUUUAAAUUGAACAAAAUGAAAAGUGCAUGAUAGUGUUCUAACUAUUCCUAAUGUAUCAUUGUAUGGUAAGAUACCAAGAUACCACUA